Molecule: ribosomal RNA, 495 nt
Filed under: uncultured bacterium
Lineage: Bacteria
Description: partial 16S ribosomal RNA
Rfam family: Bacterial small subunit ribosomal RNA
Source: RNAcentral
UGAACGCUGGCGGCGUGCCUCAUACAUGCAAGUCGAGCGAACAGACGAGGAGCUUGCUCCUCUGACGUUAGCGGCGGACGGGUGAGUAACACGUGGAUAACCUACCUAUAAGACUGGGAUAACUUCGGGAAACCGGAGCUAAUACCGGAUAAUAUAUUGAACCGCAUGGUUCAAUAGUGAAAGACGGUUUUGCUGUCACUUAUAGAUGGAUCCGCGCCGCAUUAGCUAGUUGGUAAGGUAACGGCUUACCAAGGCAACGAUGCGUAGCCGACCUGAGAGGGUGAUCGGCCACACUGGAACUGAGACACGGUCCAGACUCCUACGGGAGGCAGCAGUAGGGAAUCUUCCGCAAUGGGCGAAAGCUUGACGGAGCAACGCCGCGUGAGUGAUGAAGGUCUUCGGAUCGUAAAACUCUGUUAUUAGGGAAGAACAAAUGUAUAAGUAACUAUGCACGUCUUGACGGUACCUAAUCAGAAAGCCACGGCUAACUACGUG